GGGGGUUUAGCUCAGUGGUAGAGCGCUCGCUUCGCAUGUGAGAGGCCGCGGGUUCAAAUCCCGCAACCUCCA
Molecule: non-coding RNA, 72 nt
Organism: Sycon ciliatum
Lineage: Eukaryota; Metazoa; Porifera; Calcarea; Leucosolenida; Sycettidae
Source: the annotation of a RefSeq genome assembly